AGAAAGCGCUCGGAACCUGUCUGAACUCAAACACCCUGCUCUCUCCCAGCGGAGUAUGAAAAAGCCUUUCUUUCCUGCCCGCCCUCGGGGCUACGGGGCAAUUACAAGUCCCGACACCCUGCUCCUGGUCUGGGGCGAGGAGCGAUCCCGGAGGACAGCGACGCUCACCUGGGAAGAAGGCGGAUCUAGGCCGAGCGGGGCCGUGGUCCCGUCCUCGCUUUUCCCUGGGCUCAAGAAUGCCUGGAGGAGAGGCCUGGGGGCCGCGGACAGAGAAAAAGAGAAAACAACAACAAAAAUGAAGCAAGAGUAAACUGCCAACUCCAACUGCCUUUCUGGAAGGCCUAAUUUGAAGAUGUCUGAAAUUCUGUAUCACUGGCUCCCAGACAUAUCAUGUUUAUUUGUACAUCACACCUUUGCCCACCUCUGCUCAGUGGACCUCCAGCCUAAAAUGCCUCCCUUGUUCCUCUGUCUCACUUCAGCUGUUAUUGAAGUCUCCUGGUACAAUGUGACAUUUCCAGCGUCUUGUUUUCCAAUCAGAUCAGUGGCUCUCAGUGGACCAACUGAUAAGGAACAUUUGGAAAAUGUUACGAUGAUUGAGGGCUGUACUGGUAUUUGGUGGGCAGGGAAUGACAAUGUCCUGUGAUGUAUCCAUCAUAAUGGAAAAUUAUCUGAUGUCUUGGGCAAAUAACAGCAGUCCUGCCAGACAAAAUGAAGGUGAAAAAUUCAUUUAUAAUUGCCUAAGUUCAGAGCUUCUCUCUGUUUUACAUACAAGUACAAGAAAUGUUUGGCACAGUUUUAAUGUAUACUGAAUUAUAGGAAUCCAAUUACAAUAUAUUUUGCUUAACAUAGACAUCUGCUAAGAAUUAUUCAUCAUUUUGUAGAUCACAGCACUACGUAACUGCUUCAGAGAUAUAAUAAAACUCAUCAGUCUUCCUUAGCAUCUGUAGGUCAGUCAUCUCACAUCUCACAGCUUCUUCUGCCUUCUGGUAUAUUUGUGUAUGAAUGUUUAUAUACUACAACAAAUAGCAUUUUUAUAAAUUCCUUUUAUUUACUUUAUAAUCAGGACAUAACAUUACUUUUAAAAGUUAUAUGUAGGUUAAAUUACAUUAUUAAUAAAUUUCAUUGUUUUAGUGUAGCAAGACAAUGUUACAAAAUAUUUCUUUAAAACCAAGAAGGGGCAUUGAGCCUGGGAGUUGAGAACUAUAGAACCAUAUUGUAUGCAUUCAUGGGAGAAAACGACUGGAAAGGGGACAAGGUGAAGUGGAAAACUAGAAUGUAUUAAGAAUUUCCUUUAAUCCAUCUUGAAUUGAUUUUUGUAUAAGGUGUAAGGAAGGGAUCCAGUUUCAGCUUUCUACAUAUGGC
RNAcentral lists this long non-coding RNA (1362 nucleotides) under Homo sapiens (human). RNAcentral describes it as "non-protein coding lnc-HMGCLL1-1:3". The record is from RNAcentral. Lineage: Eukaryota; Metazoa; Chordata; Mammalia; Primates; Hominidae.